This 503-nucleotide ribosomal RNA is filed under the name Lactobacillus gasseri. RNAcentral describes it as "bacterial SSU rRNA". It matches the Rfam family "Bacterial small subunit ribosomal RNA", at positions 28 to 494 of the family's 1533-position model. The record is from RNAcentral. Lineage: Bacteria; Bacillati; Bacillota; Bacilli; Lactobacillales; Lactobacillaceae.
GACGAACGCUGGCGGCGUGCCUAAUACAUGCAAGUCGAGCGAGCUUGCCUAGAUGAAUUUGGUGCUUGCACCAAAUGAAACUAGAUACAAGCGAGCGGCGGACGGGUGAGUAACACGUGGGUAACCUGCCCAAGAGACUGGGAUAACACCUGGAAACAGAUGCUAAUACCGGAUAACAACACUAGACGCAUGUCUAGAGUUUAAAAGAUGGUUCUGCUAUCACUCUUGGAUGGACCUGCGGUGCAUUAGCUAGUUGGUAAGGUAACGGCUUACCAAGGCAAUGAUGCAUAGCCGAGUUGAGAGACUGAUCGGCCACAUUGGGACUGAGACACGGCCCAAACUCCUACGGGAGGCAGCAGUAGGGAAUCUUCCACAAUGGACGCAAGUCUGAUGGAGCAACGCCGCGUGAGUGAAGAAGGGUUUCGGCUCGUAAAGCUCUGUUGGUAGUGAAGAAAGAUAGAGGUAGUAACUGGCCUUUAUUUGACGGAAUACUAGAAAGCACG